RNAcentral lists this unclassified non-coding RNA (483 nucleotides) under Hevea brasiliensis (rubber tree). The record is from RNAcentral. Lineage: Eukaryota; Viridiplantae; Streptophyta; Magnoliopsida; Malpighiales; Euphorbiaceae.
CAAGCGGAAAUGCCCAGAAUUUGAGAUCAUCAGGAAAGCCCAUCUCGAGGCCGAGAUUGAUGAAAUUGAGAAGGCAAUCCAAUUCCCAGAAUUUCAAAUCCCCAGCUGACACCUUUGCUUGUCCCGGUUUUAAUCCGUUUCGACCUGUUUCCGGCCCUGCUGAACAGGAUGUUUCAAAGUCCAGUGCAUUUGGGUAUGGUAGCGAUAGGAAUGAGUCAUUUGUUUUUGGAACGGGUAAAAGUAGUUUAGGUGGGAAUUCGGAUUCCGGGUAGUGGAAUGUGCAAUUCAGAGAAAUGGGUAAAACGAAGUCAUUGAACAGAUGAAAAAUGCGAGAAUUGGGAGCGGAAAUGUGCAAUUCAGAGAAAUGGAAAAGGAAGGUUCUGGUUACUGUUCCGACAAAGGUAUAGGCGCUGAAAAUCCUCCAGAAAAUUAGAUAUAUUGGGCUGAAACAGAAAGCUGUAAAUCUGCAAAUGAGGAAAUAGA